CAUUGGAUGAUAAAUCUUGAAUGCGUGUCAUAAAAAUCCUCCAUAAAAUGAAAUCAACUGUGGGUAUAUCGUAGAAACGGUAACAAAUGCGGUGAAAAUAGCAGGCGCAAGUGGUACUCGGCGUUGGUGUAUCCAAUUAAACAUAAAUGAAAUCGGUAAUAGUAUACAGCCUAUAAUGGUUAAUAUUAUAUUUUACAUAUGGGAGGAAUAAUCAUGUCAGAAAAAAUCGAAUUAAAAGUGAGCCAAACAUUAAAAGAAAAGCCUGAUUUGAAUCAACUCACUUUUGGUGAAGUCUUUACCGAUUACAUGUUAAGUUUUGAAUACUCAACAGCAGAAGGAUGGCACGAUUUAAAGAUUAUUCCUUAUGGUCCAAUUGAACUGUCACCAGCUGCACAAAGUCUCCAUUACGGACAAGCUGUUUUUGAAGGAUUAAAAGCAUAUAAGCAUGAUGGCGAAGUUGUCUUGUUUAGACCUGAGGAAAACUUUAAACGAAUUAAUCAAUCAUUAGAACGCUUAAAAAUGCCGCAAAUUGAUGAGGCGUUAUUAUUAGAAGGAUUAAAACAACUCGUCGAUAUCGAUCGUGAUUGGGUGCCGAGUGGAGAAGGUCAAUCGCUCUAUAUUCGACCAUUUGUUUUCGCUACACAAGGCGCUCUUGGGGUGCAUCCUUCACAUGAGUAUCGCUUAUUAAUCAUUUUAUCGCCAUCUGGUUCAUAUUAUGGCGGAGAUUCAUUACGUCCAACGAAAAUUUACGUAGAAGAUGAGUAUGUACGUGCAGUACGUGGCGGUGUCGGAUUUGCAAAAGUAGCUGGCAACUAUGCAGCAAGCUUACUCGCACAAGCCAACGCAAAUCAACUCGGCUUUGACCAAGUGUUAUGGUUAGAUGGUGUGGAGCAAAAAUAUGUGGAAGAAGUGGGAAGCAUGAACAUCUUCUUCGUCAUUGAUGGGAAAGUGGUCACACCGUCAUUAAAUGGUAGUAUUUUACCUGGUAUUACGCGUAAAACAGUAUUAGAAUUAGCUGCAUCAUUAGGCUAUGAAACUGAAGAACGCCGUAUUUCUAUUGAUGAAUUGUAUGAAUUACAUCAAAGCGGUGCCUUGACAGAAGUAUUUGGUACAGGUACGGCCGCUGUUAUCUCGCCAGUGGGUACGUUGCAAUAUAGAGAAGAAGAAAUCGUGAUUAAUAACAAUGAAACAGGUCCAAUUACGCAAAAACUAUAUGAUCAUUAUACAGGCAUUCAAAGUGGACAAUUAGAGGAUCCACACGGUUGGCGCGUUGUGGUUCCGCAUUAUGAAAGAUAAUAACAAUGAAAAGCUAGGAAUCCUGAUAUGACGGGGUUUCUAGCUUUUUAAGCAUUUUAUCAAUACAGUUCAUGACUGUUUUACCCGAGUCCAAUUCAGAACUCGAUUUAAAACCUAAACGCUAUUAAAACGAUUGAAGAUGGUUUGCGCAUUGAUAUGUGGUGCUUUCUGCAAUCAUAAAAAUCAUCUUAACAUCAAUGUUCUAUACACGCUUGAAAUCAUCUGUUAAGCUGUGAUGGGGAGAGGAACUUGUUCCUCGAGUCGUUGAUUUCACACUGCCGAGAAAAGCCUCUAGCUAGAACAACGGUGCCCGUACCGCAAACCGACACAGGUAGUCAAGAUGAGAAUUCUAAGGUGAGCGAGCGAACUCUCGUUAAGGAACUCGGCAAAAUGACCCCGUAACUUCGGGAGAAGGGGUGCUCUUUGAGGUUCACGCUUCGAAGAGCCGCAGUGAAUAGGCCCAAGCGACUGUUUAUCAAAAACACAGGUCUCUGCUAAACCGUAAGGUGACGUAUAGGGGCUGACGCCUGCCCGGUGCUGGAAGGUUAAGAGGAGUGGUUAGCGCAAGCGAAGCUACGAAUCGAAGCCCCAGUAAACGGCGGCCGUAACUAUAACGGUCCUAAGGUAGCGAAAUUCCUUGUCGGGUAAGUUCCGACCCGCACGAAAGGCGUAACGAUUUGGGCACUGUCUCAACGAGAGACUCGGUGAAAUCAUAGUACCGGUGAAGAUGCCGGUUACCCGCGACAGGACGGAAAGACCCCGUGGAGCUUUACUGUAGCCUGAUAUUGAAAUUCGGUACAGUUUGUACAGGAUAGGUAGGAGCCUUAGAAGCGUGAGCGCUAGCUUACGUGGAGGCAUUGGUGGGAUACUACCCUAAUUGUAUUGGAUUUCUAACCCGCAGCACUUAUCGUGCUGGGAGACAGUGUCAGGCGGGCAGUUUGACUGGGGCGGUCGCCUCCUAAAGAGUAACGGAGGCGCUCAAAGGUUCCCUCAGAAUGGUUGGAAAUCAUUCAUAGAGUGUAAAGGCAUAAGGGAGCUUGACUGCGAGACCUACAAGUCGAGCAGGGUCGAAAGACGGACUUAGUGAUCCGGUGGUUCCGCAUGGAAGGGCCAUCGCUCAACGGAUAAAAGCUACCCCGGGGAUAACAGGCUUAUCUCCCCCAAGAGUUCACAUCGACGGGGAGGUUUGGCACCUCGAUGUCGGCUCAUCGCAUCCUGGGGCUGUAGUCGGUCCCAAGGGUUGGGCUGUUCGCCCAUUAAAGCGGUACGCGAGCUGGGUUCAGAACGUCGUGAGACAGUUCGGUCCCUAUCCGUCGUGGGCGUAGGAAAUUUGAGAGGAGCUGUCCUUAGUACGAGAGGACCGGGAUGGACAUACCUCUGGUGUACCAGUUGUCGUGCCAACGGCAUAGCUGGGUAGCUAUGUAUGGACGGGAUAAGUGCUGAAAGCAUCUAAGCAUGAAGCCCCCCUCGAGAUGAGAUUUCCCAACUUCGGUUAUAAGAUCCCUCAAAGAUGAUGAGGUGAAUAGGUUCGAGGUGGAAGCGUAGCGAUACGUGGAGCUGACGAAUACUAAUCGAUCGAAGACUUAAUC
RNAcentral lists this ribosomal RNA (2885 nucleotides) under Staphylococcus pseudintermedius. Its description in RNAcentral is "bacterial LSU rRNA". The stretch from base 1196 to 2885 matches the Rfam family "Bacterial large subunit ribosomal RNA". Lineage: Bacteria; Bacillati; Bacillota; Bacilli; Caryophanales; Staphylococcaceae. The record is from RNAcentral.